This is a long non-coding RNA of Sinocyclocheilus grahami, 337 nucleotides long. RefSeq lists it as uncharacterized. The record is from RefSeq and is a predicted model, not a curated record. The transcript is spliced from 3 exons. NCBI's taxonomy places the organism in Eukaryota, Metazoa, Chordata, Actinopteri, Cypriniformes, Cyprinidae.
GUCUUCACUGAUGGAGAGGUGUGGAACAUUAAGGAGGUGCUGGAUCUGGUGAAGAGUCAGGUUUACUCUCACAGGUGCUUCUCCUUCGGGAUCGGUGAGGGUGCGAGUACAGCUCUCGUCACAGGAAUGGCCAGAGAAGGUUCAGGUCACGCUCAGUUCAUCACAGGCACUGACCGCAUGCAGCCCAAAGUGAUGCAGUCGCUCAGGUUUGCUCUUCAGCCGGCUGUGGAUAAUAUCUCUGUGGACUGGACCGUUCCUGAGGGUGUGACGGUGGACAUGCUGUCCCCACCCAUCAAUGCUCUGUUCCAGGGUCAGAGGGCGCUCAUCUACGCUCAGA